CGGGCGUGUGCAUCUAUCUAGGUGAAAUCGGAUGCAUGACAAAAAAUAUCUUUGUAGCUUGAGCUACACAAAAGUUUAACAUAUUGAUUGAUGAUCUGUAUAAAACAAAUUUUUGCCGUUUAUUGUACAUAAAUAUUUUUUUCAAAAAUUAAAACAAAUAGUUGUUUUAGUUAGAUAGAAGUAAAAUUGAUGAUUUAUUCCUUUGGUUUCGGGUAGAACUGUUUUUCAUCCCUCUCAUUAAGUCCAUCAGGUUCAAGAGUACGUAGCUGAUGCAUCCAGAACCUUUCUCUUUUUUUUCUCAUUUCGGAGUCCCAAUUUUGG
Molecule: long non-coding RNA, 321 nt
Filed under: Mytilus galloprovincialis (Mediterranean mussel)
Lineage: Eukaryota; Metazoa; Mollusca; Bivalvia; Mytilida; Mytilidae
Source: RNAcentral